UCCGGCUUAUCACCGGCGGUUUCUUUAGAGUGCCCAACUAAAUGAUGGCAACUAAAGACGAGGGUUGCGCUCGUUGCGGGACUUAACCCAACAUGUCACCACACGAGCUGACGACAGCCAUGCAGCACCUGUCUUCCGGCAGUAUUGCUACUGAAGCCGUAUUUCUACGGAUGUCCGGAGAUGUCAAAUCCAGGUAAGGUUCUUCGCGUUGCUUCGAAUUAAACCACAUGAUCCACCGCUUGUGCGGGCCCCCGUCAAUUCCUUUGAGUUUUAGUCUUGCGACCGUACUUCCCAGGCGGGGUACUUAUUGCGUUAGCUCCGGUUCGGCGGGGGUCAAGACCCACCAAACCUAGUACCCAUCGUUUACGGCGUGGACUAC
Molecule: unclassified non-coding RNA, 379 nt
Filed under: uncultured Oligoflexales bacterium
Lineage: Bacteria; Pseudomonadati; Bdellovibrionota; Oligoflexia; Oligoflexales
Description: contains 16S-23S intergenic spacer region
Source: RNAcentral